UGGGCAACAAGAGCGAAACUCCAUCUCAAAAAAAAAAAAAGAAAAGAAAAAAGAAGAGAGAGAUUCUACAGAGACAUAUUGGAGCUCGCUCAAAUGUGAGCCACCAGAUAAGGGCUGCUGGAAGGAGGCGAAGAAAGAUGACUCAGAACAUGACAUCUGUCUUCAUGUGAAAGAAUGGGUAGAACUGAUGUGGCACUACGAAUUAUCUGUAGGGCAAAGGACUGGAAGUUAAUUGAAGAUAGAUUUUAAUUCAAAACAAGGAUCAGUUCUUUAAGAGUCUGAAGAAGGGUUAUUUUAGGAAGUAGCUGCCUCUGCCCCCUUCCCACCUGUUGCAGUGGAUCAAAUAUACACUGAAUCACUACCUCAUUCAUUCAACACUCAUUUCAUGAAGGCUUAACGCAUUGCUGUGGGGCUUACUCUGCCGCCGACCUGGGGCCUAGCUAGGCUUUGUAGUCUAUAUAGUCUCAUAGUCCUGCAAACUGGCUCCAGCCCAGGAAAUCACCCUGUGUAGGAGUGGCUGCAGUCAAGACGCAGGAAGACAAUCCUGAGGGGACCUGACAUCCAGCAUCUGAGUUCAGACUACUAUAGUUUGAAUAAGUGACCUGCAGAUUCAUUACACACAAGGGAACAUGUCUUCCUUUUGUUGGAUUGAACUCUGUGAUACCAAGCAGUCAAAACUACCUGUCAGAUGUCCAAUCCCUGAUCCAGAAUUUCAAGGAGCUGUGGAGGCAGCUGUACAAUGGGAGUGUCAUAAACCAGAGAACUUUGUGUCCAGGCUAUGUCUAUUAGGUGAGUAUAUGGUGAGAAGGCAGCUGUCUGUGAACCAGAAGGAGGGCCCUCACCAAGAAGUGACCAUGCUGGCACCCUGAUCUUGGACUUCUGGCAUCUGGAACUUUUAUUCUCUCCACAGUGGUCGGGGCAGUCUGAGAGAAUACGGUGGAAUCGAUGGUAUGCGACUUCCAAGGUUAGGUCAUAAAAGACAUUGAAGUUUCUGCUUUGUCUCUUGAAUCACUUUCUCUGGGGGAAACCAGCUACUGGGUCAUAAGGACACUCAAGCAGCACCAUGGAGGGGCCCAAGUGGAGAGAAACCAACUUGCCAGCAUUAACUUGGUAGUUGUGCAGCCAUGUGAAUGAGUGGAUCCUACCAUCCUAGUCAAACCUCUGAUAACUGAAGGUCCCACCUAUAUUUGACUGCAGUCUUCCAACAGACCCCACCCAAGCUGCUCUAGGAUUCCUGACCUACAGAAACUGUGAGGGAUAAGAUAUGCUUGUUGUUUUAACCCACUAAGUUUUAGAGUGAUUUGUUACACAGCAAUAUACAACAAAUACACAAGUCAUCACAGAAAGUUUGCUUGCUUUCAAGCCUGGAACGCCUGGGACCUUCAGUGAACCUCUUCCUCAGAUACAUGCCUGCGUAGUGUCAACUUGCUCUAUUGCUGGGAAGUGCUUGGCUGAUUAUCUUCUUCCUGCCCUGGGAGAUGUCUCACUAAUCAUUCAUUCAUUCAGCAAACAUUACAACGUUCCAGGCACUGUGCUAACUACUGAAUAUUCAGUGAUAUAGGAUAAAAUCUCUGUCCUAAAGUUGCUUGCAGUCAGAUGGGAGAAAAGCAAGUAAAUACAACAAUUUGUGAGCUUUAAAAAAGACCUAUAACAUCUUGUGAAGGAGGGGCAGAACUUAUCAUCCUCAACUAACAUAGAGAAAAUUGUCUCAUAGAGCAGGAGCUGAUAGCCCUUGGCUUUCUGGAUGGAGGAGACAGCAAUGGAGUGGAGGGAUUUCUCAGGAAUCUCCCCCAGGGGCUGCUCUAC
This 1806-nucleotide long non-coding RNA is filed under the name Homo sapiens (human). RNAcentral's name for it is "HSALNT0295449". The record is from RNAcentral. Lineage: Eukaryota; Metazoa; Chordata; Mammalia; Primates; Hominidae.